AAGGAAAUGCUUUUGCCAAAGCUGUUGUAGGAGUAGACAAAACAAGCCUUUGAUACUUUAGUUGUUGUAACGAAUGGUGGAUGGCUGAUUAAUUGGCCCUGUCAAAAUAAUAGAAUAUGUUUUGGGCAAAGAAGGUAAAAAUAUUUUGAAGGAUCAAGUAGCAAGAAGAACAUAAUCCAUAUGAAUCUUCUUAUAACUUGUUAAACUAGUGGAUGUUCAUCCAUCUGACUUUUGUUCCUGCUUGUAAGCUAGGUGCUUUUUU
This 262-nucleotide unclassified non-coding RNA is filed under the name Hevea brasiliensis (rubber tree). Lineage: Eukaryota; Viridiplantae; Streptophyta; Magnoliopsida; Malpighiales; Euphorbiaceae. The record is from RNAcentral.